UAAGCGGAGGAAAAGAAACUAACAAGGAUUCCCCUAGUAACUGCGAGUGAAGCGGGAAAAGCUCAAAUUUAAAAUCUGGUGGCCCCUGGUCAUCCGAGUUGUAAUUUAGAGAAGCGUCUUCCGCGCUGGACCGUGCACAAGUCUCCUGGAAUGGAGCGUCAUAGAGGGUGAGAAUCCCGUCUUUGGCACGGAUCCCGGGGCUUUUGUGAUGCGCUCUCGAAGAGUCGAGUUGUUUGGGAAUGCAGCUCAAAAUGGGUGGUGAACUCCAUCUAAAGCUAAAUAUUGGCGAGAGACCGAUAGCGAACAAGUACCGUGAGGGAAAGAUGAAAAGCACUUUGGAAAGAGAGUGAAACAGUACGUGAAAUUGUUGAAAGGGAAACGCUUGAAGUCAGUCGCGUCGUCCGAGACUCAGCCUCGCCUCGGCUUGGUGUACUUCUCGACCGACGGGUCAGCAUCGAUUUCGCCCCUUGGAUAAUGGCGUGGGAAAUGUGGCACCUUUGCGGGUGCGUUAUAGUCCCUCGUCGCAUGCAAGGGUCGGGAUUGAGGAACUCAGCACGCGCCUUUCGGCGUCGGGGUUUUUGCCCACGAUACGUGCUUAGGAUGUUGCGUAAUGGCUUUAAACGACC
This 626-nucleotide ribosomal RNA is filed under the name uncultured Russulaceae. Its description in RNAcentral is "LSU rRNA". It matches the Rfam family "Eukaryotic large subunit ribosomal RNA", at positions 47 to 649 of the family's 3401-position model. The record is from RNAcentral. Lineage: Eukaryota; Fungi; Basidiomycota; Agaricomycetes; Russulales; Russulaceae.